RNAcentral lists this long non-coding RNA (798 nucleotides) under Ananas comosus (pineapple). RNAcentral's name for it is "long non-coding RNA (ACOM_LNC034629)". The record is from RNAcentral. Lineage: Eukaryota; Viridiplantae; Streptophyta; Magnoliopsida; Poales; Bromeliaceae.
UUUUUUUUUUUUUUUUUUUUUUAACCUGGCCCACGUGACGUACAGACCCGCCACAAAUACAAAGUUCUUCUGUCCACUCGGACAGAGUCUCCUUUGUAUUUGCACGGCGUACCAACGAUACAACAGGAUCACAACCACAAUCUACAUUUACCAAUCAACAACCAAAGCAUGAUAUGCAUUUCCAUACAGCUAACAAUCCUUAGAAUGAUGCAUGCCUCUAAGCACUCCUUAGGCGCUGGAUGAUGUAAUGCACAAUACAACAAACAUCCUAUUUAAAAGUGCUCCCCACACGGAAGCUUUUGUUUUUGAACUCUAAUUCAUUCAUCAUGAAAAACCAUUUGAAAACCUUUUGAAAACUGUUUUCCACACGGAAACUCUAUUUUGAAAACCGACUACCUCGAGGGGUAGAAAACCACGAUAUGUAAAUACAAGAAAAUUCGAUAUCCAUAAAAUCAAUAUCCAAAUCCACAAAUCUCAGUUUACAUGCAUAAAUAAUGAAAGCAUCCCCAGAUCUACCAAAACCAGAUCACCAACAUUCAAACAAUCAUAAAGAUCAGCUAACUGAACCAUAUAAACUAUCUAAACUAUAUCAACAGGACAGUAAGGGUAGAAACUAAACCGAAUAACCUGGGUCGGAAGCUCUAGCGACCACUACGAACGUGUCUCACGUCUCGUCUCAACUCUCACCGCCGGCGAUACCUGAAAAAUAGUGGGGGAGGUGAGAACAUGUAAACAUGUCUCCCCUCCCAGUGGGUACCGCAAGCCGAUGAAGGCGAGGAGUACUCACCGGAUCAGGAA